AGUGGACGCUGGCGGCGUGCUUAACACAUGCAAGUCGAACGAGAACGGAUUAUAGCUUGCUAUAAUUGUCAGCUAAGUGGCGCACGGGUGAGUAAUGUAUAGGUAAUAUGCCUCUUACUAAGGGAUAACAAAUGGAAACGUUUGCUAAUACCUUAUACUCCUUAUUAACAUAAGUUAAUAAGGGAAAGAUUUAUUGGUAAGAGAUUAGCCUGUAUUGUAUCAGUUAGUUGGUGGGGUAAUGGCUUACCAAGACUAUGACACAUAACUGGUUUGAGAGGAUGAUCAGUCACACUGGAGCUGAGACACGGUCCAGACUCCUACGGGAGGCAGCAGUGGGGAAUAUUGCACAAUGGACGAAAGUCUGAUGCAGCAACGCCGCGUGGAGGAUGACACAUUUCGGUGCGUAAACUCCUUUUAUAUGAGAAGAUAAUGACGGUAUUAUAUGAAUAAGCACCGGCUAACUCCGUGCCAGCCGCCGCAGUAA
Molecule: ribosomal RNA, 484 nt
Filed under: uncultured bacterium
Lineage: Bacteria
Description: partial 16S ribosomal RNA
Rfam family: Bacterial small subunit ribosomal RNA
Source: RNAcentral